Molecule: small nucleolar RNA, 132 nt
Organism: Pipistrellus kuhlii (Kuhl's pipistrelle)
Lineage: Eukaryota; Metazoa; Chordata; Mammalia; Chiroptera; Vespertilionidae
Product: small nucleolar RNA SNORA11
Exons: 1
Source: RefSeq, a predicted model, not a curated record
AGGGUGUGAUCAGAGCAGGGAGCCCGAUCUUUUUACAACAUCCUCUGUUUACAGCACAUCCAAGAGGAACGUGGGGUACUCCUCACGGGGGCAGAACACUCUGACCUUCCUGUGACAUGACACCCUAUAUAU